GCCCUUGCAGCCUGCCCCCGCGCCCCCUAUAUUCGUUCCGUCCGGGUUCGCCCGGACUAUGGACAUAAACGCGCUCGUAAUAAGCGGAUCGGACCCGGGGGCGGUACCCGGCGGCUCCACCAUCAUUCGCCUUCGUUGGGGGGAUAUGGGGCCGAAACAGGAUCGACGAACGUCUAAAAGGGUUUGCUUUGUCCCGGUGAGCGACCACCGUUAUCGGUGCAAAUUGUACAGUUGCCAACGACAACCGUGCUCCGGUGGCUCUGGCUGCGUAAGCAGCUCGGGUAACCGAAACCUAACUCCUUGCGCCUAGCAGCGUAAGGCGGGGCCCGCAGGAGCCUUGCAACAGAAUCCUGCACU
Molecule: transfer-messenger RNA, 357 nt
Filed under: Paracoccus isoporae
Lineage: Bacteria; Pseudomonadati; Pseudomonadota; Alphaproteobacteria; Rhodobacterales; Paracoccaceae
Description: Paracoccus sp. sw-3 Alphaproteobacteria transfer-messenger RNA
Rfam family: Alphaproteobacteria transfer-messenger RNA
About the family: Bacterial tmRNA, also known as 10Sa RNA or SsrA, is named for its dual tRNA and mRNA-like properties. Its role is to liberate the mRNA from a stalled ribosome.
Source: Rfam by way of RNAcentral